RNAcentral lists this long non-coding RNA (378 nucleotides) under Pan troglodytes (chimpanzee). RNAcentral's name for it is "long non-coding RNA NONPTRT004610". Lineage: Eukaryota; Metazoa; Chordata; Mammalia; Primates; Hominidae. The record is from RNAcentral.
GGUGGGGAGUUGGAGUCAGGGUGGAUGAGGCUGGGAUAUCUACAUGCUUGGUGGGGAGUUGGAAUCAGGGUGGAUGAGGCUGGGAUAUCGACAUGCUUGGUGGGGAGUCGGAAUCAGGGUGGAUGAGGCUGGGAUAUCUACAUGCUUGGUGGGGAGUUGGAGUCAGGGUGGAUGAGGCUGGGAUAUCGACAUGCUUGGUGGGGAGGAGGAGCCAAGGUGGAUGAGGCUGGGAUAUCUACAUGCUUGGUGGGGAGUUGGAGUCAGGGUGGAUGAGGCUGGGAUAUCUACAUGGUUGGUGGGGAGUCGGAAUCAGGGUGGAUGAGGCUGGGAUAUCUACAUGGUUGGUGGGGAGGAGGAGCCAAGGUGGAUGAGGCUGGG